RNAcentral lists this unclassified non-coding RNA (145 nucleotides) under uncultured Capnodiales. RNAcentral's name for it is "sequence contains ITS1". The record is from RNAcentral. Lineage: Eukaryota; Fungi; Ascomycota; Dothideomycetes; Capnodiales.
CCGAGCGAGGGCUCCCGGGCCCGACCUCCAACCCUUUGUUGACCAACACCUGUUGCCUCGGGGGCGACCCGGCCUUCGCGCCGGGGCCCCCGACGGACCACUCAACUCUGGAUCUUUGCGUCGGAGUACUUGAUAAAUUGAAUCA